This 1060-nucleotide ribosomal RNA is filed under the name Serratia nevei. RNAcentral describes it as "partial 23S ribosomal RNA". It matches the Rfam family "Bacterial large subunit ribosomal RNA", at positions 1640 to 2680 of the family's 2925-position model. Lineage: Bacteria; Pseudomonadati; Pseudomonadota; Gammaproteobacteria; Enterobacterales; Yersiniaceae. The record is from RNAcentral.
AAUCGUACCCCAAACCGACACAGGUGGUCAGGUAGAGAAUACCAAGGCGCUUGAGAGAACUCGGGUGAAGGAACUAGGCAAAAUGGUGCCGUAACUUCGGGAGAAGGCACGCUGGCAUGUAGGUGAAGUCCUUCGCGGAUGGAGCUGAAGCCAGUCGAAGAUACCAGCUGGCUGCAACUGUUUAAUAAAAACACAGCACUGUGCAAACACGAAAGUGGACGUAUACGGUGUGACGCCUGCCCGGUGCUGGAAGGUUAAUUGAUGGGGUCAGCCGCAAGGCGAAGCUCUUGAUCGAAGCCCCAGUAAACGGCGGCCGUAACUAUAACGGUCCUAAGGUAGCGAAAUUCCUUGUCGGGUAAGUUCCGACCUGCACGAAUGGCGUAAUGAUGGCCAGGCUGUCUCCACCCGAGACUCAGUGAAAUUGAACUCGCUGUGAAGAUGCAGUGUACCCGCGGCAAGACGGAAAGACCCCGUGAACCUUUACUAUAGCUUGACACUGAACAUUGAGCCUUGAUGUGUAGGAUAGGUGGGAGGCUUUGAAGCGUGGACGCCAGUCUGCGUGGAGCCAUCCUUGAAAUACCACCCUUUAAUGUUUGAUGUUCUAACUCGGCCCCAUAAUCUGGGGUGAGGACAGUGUCUGGUGGGUAGUUUGACUGGGGCGGUCUCCUCCCAAAGAGUAACGGAGGAGCACGAAGGUUAGCUAAUCACGGUCGGACAUCGUGAGGUUAGUGCAAAGGCAUAAGCUAGCUUGACUGCGAGAGUGACGGCUCGAGCAGGUACGAAAGUAGGUCUUAGUGAUCCGGUGGUUCUGAAUGGAAGGGCCAUCGCUCAACGGAUAAAAGGUACUCCGGGGAUAACAGGCUGAUACCGCCCAAGAGUUCAUAUCGACGGCGGUGUUUGGCACCUCGAUGUCGGCUCAUCACAUCCUGGGGCUGAAGUAGGUCCCAAGGGUAUGGCUGUUCGCCAUUUAAAGUGGUACGCGAGCUGGGUUUAGAACGUCGUGAGACAGUUCGGUCCCUAUCUGCCGUGGGCGUUGGAAGAUUGAGAGGGGUUGCUCCUA